GGUAAAAUGGCCGAGUCCUAGGCGGUGGAUUGUAGCCCCACGAACAGAGGUUCAAGUCCUCUUUUUACCA
This 70-nucleotide transfer RNA is filed under the name Sirembo imberbis (golden cusk). Its description in RNAcentral is "tRNA-Tyr". It matches the Rfam family "tRNA". From Rfam's summary of the family: Transfer RNA (tRNA) molecules are approximately 80 nucleotides in length. Their secondary structure includes four short double-helical elements and three loops (D, anti-codon, and T loops). Lineage: Eukaryota; Metazoa; Chordata; Actinopteri; Ophidiiformes; Ophidiidae. The record is from RNAcentral. RNAcentral also lists the same sequence under 2 other names.